Molecule: ribosomal RNA, 741 nt
Filed under: uncultured bacterium
Lineage: Bacteria
Description: bacterial SSU rRNA
Rfam family: Bacterial small subunit ribosomal RNA
Source: RNAcentral
AGAGUUUGAUCAUGGCUCAGAGCGAACGCUGGCGGCAGGCCUAAUACAUGCAAGUCGAACGGCUCUUCGGAGCAGUGGCGGACGGGUGAGUAACGCGUGGGAACGUGCCCUUUGGUUCGGAACAACACAGGGAAACUUGUGCUAAUACCGAAUGUGCCCUUCGGGGGAAAGAUUUAUCGCCAUUGGAGCGGCCCGCGUUGGAUUAGCUAGUUGGUGGGGUAAAGGCCCACCAAGGCUACGAUCCAUAGCUGGUCUGAGAGGAUGAUCAGCCACACUGGGACUGAGACACGGCCCAGACUCCUACGGGAGGCAGCAGUAGGGAAUCUUGCGCAAUGGGCGAAAGCCUGACGCAGCCAUGCCGCGUGAAUGAUGAAGGUCUUAGGAUUGUAAAAUUCUUUCACCGGGGAAGAUAAUGACGGUACCCGGAGAAGAAGCCCCGGCUAACUUCGUGCCAGCAGCCGCGGUAAUACGAAGGGGCUAGCGUUGCUCGGAAUUACUGGGCGUAAAGGGCGCGUAGGCGGACAUUUAAGUCAGAGGUGAAAGCCCAGGGCUCAACCUUGGAAUUGCCUUUGAUACUGGAUGUCUUGAGUUCGGGAGAGGUGAGUGGAAUGCCGAGUGUAGAGGUGAAAUUCGUAGAUAUUCGGCGGAACACCAGUGGCGAAGGCGACUCACUGGCCCGAUACUGACGCUGAGGCGCGAAAGCGUGGGGAGCAAACAGGAUUAGAUACCCCGGUAGUCCAA